Molecule: long non-coding RNA, 392 nt
Organism: Apis florea (little honeybee)
Lineage: Eukaryota; Metazoa; Arthropoda; Insecta; Hymenoptera; Apidae
Source: RefSeq, a predicted model, not a curated record
CUUAGAGUAUACCUCAGGGAAUCUGCGGGCGUGUCAUUGAUCCCAAUACACGCGUUCAAGAAUCCGAACGAGACUGACUUUAUUGAAAAGUUUACGCCCACGUUUACGAGCUCACAAGAGGAUAGAUAUCCUUGUUGAUGACCUUCAAUGCGGUUUAAACAUCUUCACGCUUCAUCUACAAUAUCCCAAGGUCACUGCAUUGUAAUUCCAGCUAAGAAGUUUUACAGUUACGAAAGGGAGACUUCGUAGCAUCGUGAUAAAAAAAUGUCCCCGGGCACUACUUUUUUUACAUCACUGCUGGAGAAUUUCCUACCCGCUGGCUGCUCGCCAUUACGAAUCACAGUACUGGCAUAAUAUCGAACCGUUAAGAGCCAAGAGCGCAACAGAAGAAU